Panicum virgatum (switchgrass) is the source of this 805-nucleotide long non-coding RNA. RefSeq lists it as uncharacterized. The record is from RefSeq and is a predicted model, not a curated record. NCBI's taxonomy places the organism in Eukaryota, Viridiplantae, Streptophyta, Magnoliopsida, Poales, Poaceae. The transcript has 2 exons.
ACGCAUCUUGGCGUCCGCGCGUCGAGCAUCCUCGCCGGCGAGCGCGUCGUGGCCACGCGCCGGCCAUCCGCGGCGUCGCCCGUCCUCAUCCUUAUCUCUGAGUCGGCGCCCCAGAUAUUUUCCUUCUCUUCCUCUCCCUGCUUUCUUCUUCCUCCUCAUGCUUCCAUUAACGAGCUCAAGCUCGAGCUCGCCCCGUCGCCAAUACUCCUCCCACAAGCCACCAAAGUUCAAUCCCUUGCACAGGCAGCAGCCCCACGAGCUCCUCCUUCGAUGCCCCCACCCGGCCGGUCGAGCCCCUCGCCGGAGUGACUUCCCCAGCGACCCAGACCUGUAUGUGAACAGUGCAUCCGCCCCCUCACCAUAGAACUCCAUCGCCCGGCCACCGUUUCCUUCGUCUAGCAGUUCAAAUCGAAGCUAGAAUCGUAACCGAGGACGUCGUCUAUGAGUUGGUCGUGAAGUCCAGAACCAGCAAUACAGGACCAGGAAAAAGUUCGUGAAGAUCCCGCCCAAGGCCGCAAGUAAUACUAACCUCGCCCAGCAAAAGGCAAGCCCCGGUGCACAUCCUAUUAUUUCAAAUUUAUGACACAUAUAUAUGUUUCUAUUACUUGUGCAUUAGGUUUAGGAAUUGUUUGGAAUUCUAGUUGCAUGAUCCCUAGGUUCCCUGGAGUUAUACUAGUAUGUAUAGGAUGAUAGAAACGCUAUGCUUAAUAAGAUCUCGGUAGAAGUCGAGUGAUUUCUGGUCACUCGCGAGAUAUAGGAUAUCUCGUUAUUUUGAGUAUAUGGAUUAUUGGAAUAGGUUGGAGAA